GCAGUCGUGGCCGAGUGGUUAAGGCGAUGGACUAGAAUUCCAUUGGUGUGUCCCCGCACAGGUACAAAUCCUGUCAACUGCG
Molecule: non-coding RNA, 82 nt
Organism: Ixodes scapularis (black-legged tick)
Lineage: Eukaryota; Metazoa; Arthropoda; Arachnida; Ixodida; Ixodidae
Source: Rfam